Centropristis striata (black sea bass) is the source of this 312-nucleotide long non-coding RNA. RefSeq lists it as uncharacterized. The transcript is spliced from 3 exons. The record is from RefSeq and is a predicted model, not a curated record. NCBI's taxonomy places the organism in Eukaryota, Metazoa, Chordata, Actinopteri, Perciformes, Serranidae.
CUUUAACCUCUGGAAAAACAACAGUCUAUAUGAAAAUGAGAGGAAUAAAUAUGACUACUUUUAACAGGUACUGACAAGGUGGAAGUUACCUUUCAUGCACCAUGGACGCCCUGUAUGGAUUAAUGACUCUUUUGGACACAACACUUUGGACAUAUGUUGUUUUUCGACUAAAAGUUCUUCAGCAGUCUUUUAUAGAAAGCCACAGCACCGAGCAGAGGCUCUCGAGCUGACAACUUAAAUGGGUCUUGAGGAGGACAACAAAUACCAUUUAAAAUGGCAGGCUCUUCCACUGGGGAGUUUCACGACAAGUCU